RNAcentral lists this long non-coding RNA (4447 nucleotides) under Homo sapiens (human). Its description in RNAcentral is "HSALNT0206979". Lineage: Eukaryota; Metazoa; Chordata; Mammalia; Primates; Hominidae. The record is from RNAcentral.
UUUUAGUAGAGACGGGGUUUCAGGGCCCCAUCACUUUUAAUCCAACCCCCAACCGGGAGUUUCAACUUGUGGUCUCUGGGCAAGAUGGUCGCCCUGAGUAAUAGAAAAGAUAAGAAAGGAAAAGGAAAGAGAGAGAAAGCAGUGCCUGUGGCAGGGUGGGGAAGGUGAAGAGCUCAAGGAGGCCAGAGAAAGACCCAGCCAUUGUAGUGACACUGAAAAGUUCGGGCAGCCGCUUGUCAGUAGCAAAGGGAUCUUUUCCAGCAGUCCCAUCAGCUCUCAAGUUUCCCCCUUUAGGGAGCAAAAAGCCCCCCAUGUCCCAUGAUUCUGUCACCCAUAGCCAUCAGCAAAGAGUGCAAGGCAGAUUAAUCCAAAGAGAAUAGCAGUUAACAUCCCUUAGUGCCAAACAUGUUCUUAGCUGAGAGGGACCUUACUGAGAGGGGCCUCUAACCCCCUAAAUCUUAGGAAGGACUCUAACCCUCCUAAGUUGGGCCUUGAACCCAAGUUCAGUCAAGCUUUCUUGCCUUUUAUUAAGAGUUGCCUUUAACCCACUCUGUCUUAGGAGAGACUCUAACUCCCUUAAGUUGGGCCUCUAACCCAAUCCCACCCUUCACCCGGGUAAAUGCAAAUGACUUACAAGGUCAGCCAAUCAGUGUGCAGUCUAUUUCCUUUGGGUUGGGGGUCUCUUUAGUAUCAUCUCUUCCAUGGUUCACCGGAAAGAUUUUACAAGAAAGUGGUCUCAAUCCAGACCCCAAGGGAGGGUUCUUGGAUCUCACGCAAGAAAGAAUUCAAGGCAAAUCCAUAAGGUGAAAGCAAGUUUAUUAGGAAAGUACAGGAAUAAAAGAAUGGCUAUUCUAUAGACAAAGUAGCCCCAAGGGCUGCUGGUUGCCCAUUUUUAUGGUUAUUUAUUGAUGAUAUGCUGAAGAAGGGGUGGAUGAUUCAUGCCUCCCCUUUUUAGACCAUAUAGGGUAACUUCCUGACAUUGCCAUGGCAUUUAUAAACUGUCAUAGCGCUGGUUGGCAUGUAGCAGUGAGGACGUCCAGAGGUCACACUUGUUGCCAUCUUGGUUUGGGUGGGUUUUGGCCAUCUUCUUUACUGCAACCUGUUUUAUCGGCAAGGUUUUAUGACCUGUAUCUUGUGCUGACCUCCUGCCUCAUCCUGUGACUUAGAAUGUCUAACCUCCUGGGAAUGCACUCCAGCAGGUCUCAGCCUUAUUUUACCGAGCCCCUACUCAAGAUGGAGUGGCUCUGGUUCAAACGCCUCUGACACAGGUGCAUGCAUUGCGGGUGCUGUCAUGAAAGAGGUCAAAGUGUUGCUUUCACAAAAGGAGAUGUGCCCUCUUACUUUGCUUACCUCAAAACAGCUGGGUAAGCCUAGACAUCCUUGGGACCAGGAUGUUGUCUCGGCCUCUCAAGGGACCAGGGACCAGGAGGGCAGGCUUAGCUCAGAGCUCCUGGGCAAUUGUCCUCCAUCCUCACAGCCACCCCGAGGAUGAACAUUUCCCCCCAUUUUCCAGACAAGAAGCCCAAAUCCCAAAGAACUUUCCCAGGGCCAUCUCUCAUGGCCUGCAGGAGGGACUGGAACUCAGGCAGGGCUCUGUCAGGCCUCUGAGCUGGAGCUAAGCCAUUGUAACCCCUGUGACCUGCACGUAUAUAUCCAGAUGCCCAGCAGGAGCCAAGAAGCCUGGAGCAGCCAAGAAACCACAAAAGAAGUGAAACAGUCAGUUUCUGCCUUAACUGAUUAACCAACCUUACGACAUUCCAACAUUAUGACUUGUUCCUGCCCUACCCUAACUGAUCAAUCGACCCUGUGACAUUCUUCUCCUGGACAAUGGAUCUCAUGAUCUCCCCACCAUGCACCUUGUGACCCCCCUCUCCUGCUGACAACAGAUAACUACCUUCAACUCUAACUUUCCACUGCCUACCCAAGUCCUAUAAAGCUGCCUCUCUCCUAUCUUCCUUCGCUGACUCUCUUUUCGGACUCAGCCCACUUGCACCCAAGUGAAUAAACAGCCUUGUUGCUUACACAAAGCCUGUUUAGGUGGUCUUCUAUAUGGAUACGCGUGACAGGCUCCUUCCUCUAGAGGGGGCUGGUUCAAGUUCUGGACUGCCGUCAAGUUAGUCAAGUUUUAAAAAUAUGGAUGACGAUAUGACCACAGUAUUUGGGCUCUGCAGGUGAUGCUAAAGUACAGCCGGCUGAGAACUGCUGCCCUGGGCCAGGGCCGUCCAAUAGAAACACAGCAUGAGCCGAAGAUGUGCUUUUCAUUGUCUAGUGGCCACAUUAAAAAGAUGCAGAUGAAACUCAUUGCAAUAACAUUGUAUUUCACGUGAUGAUUUCAACAUGGGAUCAGUGUCAAAUUACUAGUGAGAUGUUUCAGUCUUUCCAUCACGCUGGCUCUCCACAGUUCCAUGUGUCCUUUGCCUUCACGGCCAUUUCCACGUAGACAGCCGCGCUCCAGGGUGUGAGCGCUUAGCCAGUGCCUGCACUUCUGCUCUGACCUCUCGUUUUACAUGUGGGUAAACUGAGGCCCAGAAUGCUGGGACUCAGAGCAUGCAGUCCUGACCCCUGCUCACAUCGAUGCCCUUGGGAAACAGUCACCUCCCAGGACCUCUCUGCCAGCAUUGCCUGUGGAGUGGGGUCGGGGUAGAGGAUGGGGCCACCUUCCACCCGGCAGGGCCCGGGACUGCGGCUGUGAAGGCUGCACGGCCUCGAACAGGGGCUCCCGUGGGAACGCAGGGCCCCCAGGUGCUGGGCCCUUUCCAGGAGCUGUCGCUGUCAGAAGUCAGGCUUUGCUCCCUUUCCACAUCUGGGUGGGAGAGGCCUGGGAAAAGCUCUGCCUGCCUGCGUGUUUGAUGGGUUAGGUGGAUGGAUGAGUGAGCGCUCCAGUGAAUGAAUGGGUGUUCCCAUUCUCGCUUCUGCCGCCCCGUCCACUUUCUGGGUACUCAAGCGAACUGCCCCAGGCAGGAGUUAGACUCCCCAAGGUCAAGGAAUGGCUGUGACUGGACUCACUUUCCUGGUGAAUCUGGCGGUUGCCAGAUUCUGAGAGUUUUAGUCCUGAGACCAGCACCUGCUCCAGCCAGUGUCUCAGCCACCCCCAGAGAAACAGUGGCCUCAGAAAAGGAUUCUGGAAGAGGAAAGAGUGGCUGGCAUUUCUGAUAUUUUUCCUGGGUCCUGACCAACUAAACCUAGAAGGAAGCAGCAGCUCUUACCCCCAUCCACACCCCCAGAUUUCUUCUAGGUAGAAAGCUGAAAGCAUUGACAGUGAGAAUUCAAAUCCCUGUGGAGGUCAGUGAAGCCCACCCAGGCAGGCCAGGCCGAGACUCUCUGUCCAGAGCUUGCUGUGGGAGGGCAGUCACCACCAUCACGUGCAAUCUCAAAGCCUCUGAGUCACCAUCACAUGCAAUUUCAGAGCCUCUGAGUCAGGCAGGGGAUGGGGCCUCACUAAGGCAAAGGAAGCCCAGGUCCCGUGCAGGCUGCAGCUGGGUGUGCUGGGGGUGGCUCAUCAGACGGGCGGUGAGGGGUUGGUGAGGGAGCAUGUGUGGCUUUCUCUGGUUGGCUCUGAGUUGGAAGCGAGGACAAAAGCCAUAGGACCUGUCGGUGAUGGAUGCAUUCCUGGCCCUCUGGGGCCGGCUGGUCCAGGGAUUGCGUUGUGGCUGCCUGAGUCGUCGCUAGAGGAGGUCUGACUUCUGGCAAGUCUGACUGUGGAGCAGGCCAGCCCCCUGGACUGGCUGCUGCAGGUGUGCUUGGCUCUGUUUUGAUGGUUGUGCUCGUCAUUGUUUGUAUUUCAGCCUCUCCUAUCUCAAAAAAUUCAACCAUCAGCAGUUACACAUGGUUUUAAAACAAAGAGCUUCCUAACCUUGUUCCACUUGCUGGCUUCAUCUCUACCUAAAGCGUUUUUCUAGCCCUGACCAAUCUCCCCGAGGGUAGGGAGGCCCGUGGAAGGGUCAAGGCAGCCUUUCGCCCUGGGCAGCUCACCACGGGGUGGCUCGGCCUCCUGCCUCUCUUUGGCCCCCAAAGCCCUGACUGCUCUCCGAGCAGGAACGCGCCUCCCCGCAGCUGGGCCUCCAUCCGCCCAUCUCAGGGAAUCCCAGGGUGUCUGCAGCUUGAGGAGUUUGGGUCCCCAGGAGGCCACUCCCAGCUUCGGGCAUGGAGUGGACUGGGUCACACUGGGACAGGUCAGGGACUGUGGGUACAGUUGUUAGAGAUGGAGAGUUGCAGAGACAGCCCAUCCGCCAUGGACGGGGGUGAUCCCCAGUAACAAUGGGGCAACCGAAGCCAGAGUUGGCCAGGAAGUUCAGACAGUGCCCCAGGAGGGCUCACUUCUUAGGGCUGGUCAGCUGAAUCCUGUCCUCUGCCUGCCCCAAUCUGCCCUGGGGACAGGGCAUUUGCCCUUGGUGGGUGCUCUGUUACUGCUGACCUGCUGUGCCUGCUCACAGCUAUAGAAUCCUGA